RNAcentral lists this non-coding RNA (30 nucleotides) under Homo sapiens (human). Lineage: Eukaryota; Metazoa; Chordata; Mammalia; Primates; Hominidae. The record is from RNAcentral.
GCCAUUAGAAUACGGAUGAUGAUUAGUCCU